GACGAACGCUGGCGGCGUGCUUAACACAUGCAAGUCGAACGGAAAGGCCCUGCUUUUGUGGGGUGCUCGAGUGGCGAACGGGUGAGUAACACGUGAGUAACCUGCCCUUGACUUUGGGAUAACUUCAGGAAACUGGGGCUAAUAUCGGAUAGGAGCUCCUGCUGCAUGGUGGGGGUUGGAAAGUUUCGGCGGUUGGGGAUGGACUCGCGGCUUAUCAGCUUGUUGGUGGGGUAGUGGCUUACCAAGGCUUUGACGGGUAGCCGGCCUGAGAGGGUGACCGGCCACAUUGGGACUGAGAUACGGCACAGACUCCUACGGGAGGCAGCAGUGGGGAAUAUUGCACAAUGGGCGGAAGCCUGAUGCAGCAACGCCGCGUGCGGGAUGACGGCCUUCGGGUUGUAAACCGCUUUCGCCUGUGACGAAGCGUGAGUGACGGUAAUGGGUAAAGAAGCACCGGCUAACUACGUG
This 468-nucleotide ribosomal RNA is filed under the name uncultured bacterium. RNAcentral describes it as "partial 16S ribosomal RNA". It matches the Rfam family "Bacterial small subunit ribosomal RNA", at positions 28 to 507 of the family's 1533-position model. The record is from RNAcentral.